UGAUACGGUGAAUACGUUCCCGGACCUUGCACACACCGCCCGUCAAGCCAUGGAAGCCGGGUGUACCUAAAGUCGGUAACCGUAAGGAGCCGCCUAGGGUAAAACUGGUAACCGGGGCU
RNAcentral lists this ribosomal RNA (119 nucleotides) under uncultured bacterium. RNAcentral describes it as "partial 16S ribosomal RNA". It matches the Rfam family "Bacterial small subunit ribosomal RNA", at positions 1355 to 1482 of the family's 1533-position model. The record is from RNAcentral.